This 73-nucleotide transfer-messenger RNA is filed under the name Microvirga lotononidis. Its description in RNAcentral is "suhB". It matches the Rfam family "Makes More Granules Regulator RNA (mmgR)". Rfam says of the family: SuhB later renamed mmgR (makes more granules regulator) was a putative non-coding RNA found multiple times in the Agrobacterium tumefaciens genome and related alpha-proteobacteria. Other non-coding RNAs uncovered in the same analysis include: speF, ybhL, metA, and serC. Lineage: Bacteria; Pseudomonadati; Pseudomonadota; Alphaproteobacteria; Hyphomicrobiales; Methylobacteriaceae. The record is from RNAcentral.
CCUGCUCGCCCUUCUUGGGCGUUUCCUCCCUAAACUUCGGGCCGCAUUGUUGCGGCCCUUUUUCUUGUGAGGG